This is a long non-coding RNA of Falco peregrinus (peregrine falcon), 3306 nucleotides long. RefSeq lists it as uncharacterized. The record is from RefSeq and is a predicted model, not a curated record. The transcript is spliced from 4 exons. NCBI's taxonomy places the organism in Eukaryota, Metazoa, Chordata, Aves, Falconiformes, Falconidae.
UUGGCAGCAUUGGGUUAACGGUGUGACUCAAUGAUUGUAAAGGUUUUUUCCAGCCUAAAUGAUUCUGUGAUUGCAUAAUUCUGUAUUCAUUUGAACAAAAGAGAAACACAAUUUUGGUUAUUUUCUCCAUAGGAUUUCACUUUUUAACAGCUUAAUUUUCUUCCAAACAAAGUCCAUCUUUAGGAGAGAAAAGUCAGUGGCUGCAAGAUCCAGCAAAGAACUGGAAAGAUUUGGCUUCCAUGCCCUCCUCAACCUGUGGGUUGGCAUGGGGGACAGACCCACACCUCUGAACUCUAAUAACUCUUUAGCGUAAAGCUCUUGUGCAGUCCUUUGAGCAGAAAUCAGAACCGGGAUCUCCCCUCUUCUAAAUAGGUGCCCCAAUCAUUUAGCCGCAGAGUCAUGCUCCCUCUUGCUCCCUCUCUUUGACCUAAGGAAUUCUGAUAGAUUUUUUUUGAGCUGGCACAGCAUCAAAAGGUGAAGUGGAGGGAGCCUCCCACCCAGACUAGCCUAUAGCCUGGUAGUCAGGUCCCAAGAUGAAAUGAACCAUCUUUAUUCAGGCUGGGAACAGGGCAUGCCGAAACAUUUCAUAUUAGGGUGUGUAGUUUAUGUGGGGCUGUAUCUCCAUAUUAAAGUUUCACUCUUAGGCAACUGUAGCUGACUGUCAACAACACUCACAAAUCCUUCCCCGGACAAAUACUCUAGCACUCCUGCUUUUAAAAAAGUCACACUGUAAAUGUAUUAGUACACAAUCUCUGUUUGAUUUUCACAAGUUAAAACUAGAUUAAUACAUCUGGGAGGAAGAAUGGUGUGUUACACGCAGGGGUUAGCGUGCACUUUUUCAGCAUGGGUACUAUGUAUAAAAUAUUUAUCGCUCGGAGAGAACAAUGCAAUGAAAAACCACCCCAGCCAAUCUGCCAAGGUCACUACAUGUUGUUUUGCAAGGCUGUGGCUGAAUCCAAACAGAUUAUAAAAAUGGACCUGUUCAUUGACAGGGCACAUGGGAAAGAGGAAGGAGAGAUCAUACAGGCAACAGUUGCAACAGCUGCACUGGGACACGAGCAUCUUUGGUUUUCCUCACAAAGCUUGUUUGAUAAACGCCAAGGAAUACAGCACUGUUGACAAAGUCCUUCUUACAACAACAGUACUCAGAAUGGAAAGGGGGAUAAGUUGGGAACUGGCAUGUUCUAUCUGUGGCAAACAUGGCUGAAAUAUUAGCUGAUGUGGCAACAGUUUGAAUAAAUAGGAGCUGGUAUGCUAAAUCCUAGUGAUGUUGGCUGGUGAAUACUGCUUGAGGUUUAAGGUGUGGCAACUUUUCUUUACAGACUCAUUGGCACACGCACACUGAGCCUUAUUACAUCUCAUUUACUGAAGCUGGCACACCUUGGGGGGUUUUCGGUUUUUUGUUGUUGUUUUUUAAGGAAAGAAGAACUGAAUCAUAAGAAGACAAGAUGGGAGAUGUCAAGUCUGAGGCAUAUAUGUUUGAAGUUCCUGAAAAAAGAAACCAAAGAGCCCAAAUCAGAUCACUCUAUCUCAGCAGCACAUGCUGAGUGAAAAACUCAGUGAGAAAAAUUUUGAAUCUGAGAUGGGAAAGAAAGAUCAGGCGUAAAAAAAAAAAAAAAAUGUUUGUAGGCUCCUCUUUAAACUAGAUCCCUAGCACAACCUGUUAUGGGUAACAAAAAUUUUUAUAUCCCUCAUCCAUUUUGGUAUGUUAACGCAGCAUACUGUUUGCAGUGCAGUACACACUUUCUCUCCAGGCUUAGCUGCUUCUACUUUUCUUCUAAGAUGUGUGCUACCUUAUCCCACCUGGACAUCUCUGCCAAGGAGCCCCUCCCAAUCUCCUCAUAUACUAGUAACAGUACAGAUACAAAGAAUGAGUCAGAAAAAUGUACUUAAAAUUCUCUGCCAGAAUUAACAGCUGAUAAUGCGCUGUCAAGCUAGCACCUGGAUAAUUUCUAAGGUUCUUUGACAUCUGCAGGUCACCAUCAGUCAUUAAAAAGGCAGGCUUUUAUGUAGAAUACAUGAAAAAAAUAGCUUUUUUUGCUGAAAAGGAAAAAGUAAGAUGAAAAAAAAAAAGUCAUAUUCCAAAUUAGGACCAACCUGAAGGCCAGUAGAAUUGCUUUCAGAGUGGAAAUGAGAGGAAAAGCAUGAGAAACCUUUAACAGAAUCAACAGCUCAGGAGAUUUAAGUGCCUGCUGAGCCACUCUCCUUUAUCCCAGAGGGACACCUCAACUAACAAGUCUCUGCUUAUACUGUAUAGGGUUCAUAUCAGUCUUUCCAGAUGCAACUUUACAUUUUUUAAUAAAACAAUGAGAUAAGUCUUCAGAAAAUGUCUCACCAGCUCUAGUUUUUAGUGAAGAUAUAUACCAGGAAAUUAAGAAAAAGUACUGGGCCUUUUUUUUCCCCUCAAAUAUACUGGAAGGCUUGCUGCUAAUGUAAUUCCUAAACCAAUACUGUAUUAAUUUUAAACCUACAUUUAUCAAGCAAUUAUGGAAUUAUUUACAGGUUUCAGAAGUAAUGAGGAAAAUGGGCAUAUAAUAUAUCAUAUUUGGUAUUUUUGCUUUCCCAUGUUUUGAUACACAAGUCUGCAAAACAGGAUGCAGAUUUAUUUCUACCAUCUAGUACUAAAUAACCAAAGAGUAAAUAUAUAGUUUUGUGACCUUUGCCUUACAUCCACUAAAACAAGGCAAAGUAAACGUUAAAACACUAGUGAAGGGAAAAAAAAAACCCAAAACAAAAAAAAAACAAAAAAAAAAAAAACAAAAAAAAAAAAAAAGGAAAAAAACCCAGCCCUGGUGAGUCGGUUAUAUUCUACAUUUCAAGCAGAAGCAGACCUUGAAAAGCCAAAAGAAACCCCUUCAUUGCUGUUCCUGAAGGCAGAGUUAAGUGAGAAUCAGGGAAGAGUUUUCAUAAUUCAUGAGCAGAGGAAGACUAAGGGAAAUCAAGGCAAUAGCAACAGGGCCAAACAAAUUACAGUAGUGUCUGAAAUUCCAGAAAUACAAAGAGUAAAAGGGGUGGGUGGCCUUUACUGAUGAAUUACAGAUUACUGAAACAGAAAAUAUAUUUCUGGAUAUAUUGCAACGUGCAUGUCCAAAAGCAGCUGGCCAAAAAUCUGCAGCCACGGCUCACUGCCCUUGCCCCAGCGAGAUGGGGGAAAGAGUCAGAAGAGCAGAAGCAAGAAAACUCAUGGGUCAAGAUAAAGACAAAUUGCCUGAGCCAUUAUGUCCCAAGAGUGCAGCACAGCAACAUGCACAAAUACUGCCUGGUGCUGGAAAGAAGAACGGUUGCAUCAGAUGUAGAUGGAAGCAA